AUUUUAGAAAACUAAAAUAACCAAUAUUAGUUAUAAGUUGCAAUUUAUGAUUUUAUGCAUAAUUAUUAUUUAUAUACACAGAUCCUUAUCAUAGUCCUAUCAGUGUGUUUUUUUUUUGUUUUGUUUUUAAUUGAUACUCACAUCUCCUUUUAAAGAAUUGUUUGCACUAAAGACUUGAAUUCUCAAUAAAUUAUUUGCACCAAAAUGGUCUAAUAUUAGACCUGAUCAGGCCAAAUUCUUACCCACCUAUGUCAAAAUCCCUGAGAUUAUUUAUUUAUUAUCAUUAUUAUUAUAUAUUUUUGGGUGGUACAUGGAAUGGCCCCGCAACCCAUGUAAGGGAGAGAUUUGAAUUCAGCCUUUAAUUGUUCAUCCGACCAUGGAACUAUAUUACGCACCAAGCACGAAAAAAAUUUCUCUGGUUUUUUAAAAUACAAAAGAGAAAAAAAAAAAUCCCGCCUCCAAAAUAUCACAAGUAGUUUGAAAUUUAAAAAGGACGCCAACCAUUUAUACUCGUAUACACGCAGACACCAUUGAUAAAAUUCUCAAGCAGUUGAAGCAACAGAGAAAUCUGACGCAGUGGACAAAAUCGAGACGCAGAGAGUCGGUGCGACAGUGAAAUCUGAAGGGCACUGUAGACAAAAUCGAGGUAGACAUAAUGACAGAACCUGUGGUAAAUCCCCAAGAAUGGUUUGCCUGUGCCGGGAGGAUGGCGCAGGUGCCCUCAGUCGGAUCAAAAGUUUUUUAUUACCCUCAAGGGCACGCCGAGCACGUUUGUGCUCUAUAUCGGGCGAUUGAAGGAGUUCCAACUAUGAUUUGUUGUCGAGUGUUAGCUGUGA
Molecule: long non-coding RNA, 836 nt
Organism: Cornus florida
Lineage: Eukaryota; Viridiplantae; Streptophyta; Magnoliopsida; Cornales; Cornaceae
Exons: 3
Source: RefSeq, a predicted model, not a curated record